This 599-nucleotide ribosomal RNA is filed under the name Salmonella enterica. RNAcentral's name for it is "partial 23S ribosomal RNA". It matches the Rfam family "Bacterial large subunit ribosomal RNA", at positions 621 to 1221 of the family's 2925-position model. The record is from RNAcentral. Lineage: Bacteria; Pseudomonadati; Pseudomonadota; Gammaproteobacteria; Enterobacterales; Enterobacteriaceae.
CAGCGACUUAUAUUCUGUAGCAAGGUUAACCGAAUAGGGGAGCCGGAGGGAAACCGAGUCUUAACCGGGCGUUAAGUUGCAGGGUAUAGACCCGAAACCCGGUGAUCUAGCCAUGGGCAGGUUGAAGGUUGGGUAACACUAACUGGAGGACCGAACCGACUAAUGUUGAAAAAUUAGCGGAUGACCUGUGGCUGGGGGUGAAAGGCCAAUCAAACCGGGAGAUAGCUGGUUCUCCCCGAAAGCUAUUUAGGUAGCGCCUCGUGAAUUCAUCUCCGGGGGUAGAGCACUGUUUCGGCUAGGGGGCCAUCCCGGCUUACCAACCCGAUGCAAACUGCGAAUACCGGAGAAUGUUAUCACGGGAGACACACGGCGGGUGCUAACGUCCGUCGUGAAGAGGGAAACAACCCAGACCGCCAGCUAAGGUCCCAAAGUCAUGGUUAAGUGGGAAACGAUGUGGGAAGGCCCAGACAGCCAGGAUGUUGGCUUAGAAGCAGCCAUCAUUUAAAGAAAGCGUAAUAGCUCACUGGUCGAGUCGGCCUGCGCGGAAGAUGUAACGGGGCUAAACCAUGCACCGAAGCUGCGGCAGCGAACGUAUCACU